RNAcentral lists this small RNA (28 nucleotides) under Bombyx mori (domestic silkworm). Its description in RNAcentral is "ovarian small RNA-33344". The record is from RNAcentral. Lineage: Eukaryota; Metazoa; Arthropoda; Insecta; Lepidoptera; Bombycidae.
UGCAAGAAGUAACUCCAGUCACGUGAUG